This 211-nucleotide long non-coding RNA is filed under the name Physcomitrium patens. RNAcentral describes it as "long non-coding RNA (PPAT_LNC007710)". Lineage: Eukaryota; Viridiplantae; Streptophyta; Bryopsida; Funariales; Funariaceae. The record is from RNAcentral.
AAAGCAAUAAAAGAUCAGCGACUAAAAUUGGAGAGACCACUUUCUUGGCUAUAGUUUUGACAUAUUUUUUGAUGAAUUUCAAGUUGGGAUAAAGGAGAUAUUGGAGUUUGAAGUCAGCUCUUGCAAAUCUAAGGAUAGUAAGUAAUCCGAUUCAUUAGUAGUUGUGUUUUGGGCUAUAACUUGAGAAAUUUGAUAAGAUUUUGGCUCAAAA